AGUUGACAUUUUUUCAUAAUAUAUGUCUUUCAUACGUGAAUUUAUAGCUUUAAUACUGCAUGGUGUAGGGGUUGCUCAUCCUCUUAAGCCGCACACAUUGGCGGUUUAAGGGACAAAGUGCGCUGCCCGAUCAUAAGGAGCUUGAUCAUACUAUAUAAAGCUUCGUAUGGUACACAUGAGCAGCUUUAGGGACAGAGUGCGCGGUCCGAUCAUAAGGAGCUUGAUCAUAUUAUAUAAAGCUUCGUAUGGUCUGUACACAUGGGCGGCUUUAGGGCAGAGUGCGCGGCCCGAUCAUAAGGAGCUUGAUAUAUAUUAUAUAAAGCUUCGUAUGGUACACAAGGGCGGCUUUAGGGACAGAGUGCCCGGCCCGAUCAUAAGGAGCUUGAUAUAUAUUAUAUAAAGCUUCGUAUGGUACACAUGGACGGCUUUAAUUUAGGGACAGAGUGGGCAGCUUUAGGGUCAGAGUGCGCGGCCCGAUUAUAAGGAGCUUGAUAUAAUUAUAUAAAGCUUCUUAUGCUACACAUGGGCGGCUCUAGGAACAAAAUUCGCGGCCUGAUAAUAAGGAGCUUGAAAUAUAUUAUAUAAAGUUUCAUAUGGUACACAUUGGCGGAUUUAGGGGCAGAGUGCGCAGCCCGAUCAUAGGGAGCUUGAUAUCAUUAUAUAAAGCUUUUUAUGGUACACAUGGGCAGCUUUAGGGACAGAGUGCGAGGCCCGAUCAUAGGGAGCUUGAUAUAAUUAUAUAAAGCUUCUUAUGGUACACAUGGGCGGCUUUAGGGACAGAGUGCGAAGCCCGAUCAUAAGGAGCUUGAUAUAUAUCAUAUAAAGCUUCGUAUGGUACACAUGGGCGGCUUUAGGGACAGAGUGCGACGCCCG
Molecule: long non-coding RNA, 873 nt
Filed under: Mytilus galloprovincialis (Mediterranean mussel)
Lineage: Eukaryota; Metazoa; Mollusca; Bivalvia; Mytilida; Mytilidae
Source: RNAcentral